Molecule: ribosomal RNA, 425 nt
Filed under: uncultured bacterium
Lineage: Bacteria
Description: partial 16S ribosomal RNA
Rfam family: Bacterial small subunit ribosomal RNA
Source: RNAcentral
GUGGGGAAUCUUGCGCAAUGGGCGAAAGCCUGACGCAGCCAUGCCGCGUGAAUGAUGAAGGUCUUAGGAUUGUAAAAUUCUUUCACCGGGGACGAUAAUGACGGUACCCGGAGAAGAAGCCCCGGCUAACUUCGUGCCAGCAGCCGCGGUAAUACGAAGGGGGCUAGCGUUGCCCGGAAUUACUGGGCGUAAAGGGCGCGUAGGCGGACAGUUUAGUCAGAGGUGAAAGCCCAGGGCUCAACCUUGGAAUUGCCUUUGGUACUGGCUGUCUUGAGUACGGGAGUGGUGAGUGGAACUCCGAGUGUAGAGGUGAAAUUCGUAGAUAUUCGGAAGAACACCAGUGGCGAAGGCGACUCACUGGCCCGUUACUGACGCUGAGGCGCGAAAGCGUGGGGAGCAAACAGGAUUAGAAACCCCGGUAGUCC